This 497-nucleotide ribosomal RNA is filed under the name uncultured bacterium. RNAcentral describes it as "partial 16S ribosomal RNA". It matches the Rfam family "Bacterial small subunit ribosomal RNA", at positions 28 to 507 of the family's 1533-position model. The record is from RNAcentral.
GAUGAACGCUGGCGGCGUGCCUAAUACAUGCAAGUCGAGCGAACAGACGAGGAGCUUGCUCCUCUGACGUUAGCGGCGGACGGGUGAGUAACACGUGGAUAACCUACCUAUAAGACUGGGAUAACUUCGGGAAACCGGAGCUAAUACCGGAUAAUAUAUUGAACCGUAUGGUUCAAUAGUGAAAGACGGUUUUGCUGUCACUUAUAGAUGGAUCCGCGCCGCAGUAGCUAGUUGGUAAGGUAACGGCUUACCAAGGCGACGAUGCGUAGCCGACCUGAGAGGGUGAUCGGCCACACUGGAACUGAGACACGGUCCAGACUCCUACGGGAGGCAGCAGUAGGGAAUCUUCCGCAAUGGGCGAAAGCCUGACGGAGCAACGCCGCGUGAGUGAUGAAGGUCUUCGGAUCGUAAAACUCUGUUAUUAGGGAAGAACAAAUGUGUAAGUAACUAUGCACGUCUUGACGGUACCUAAUCAGAAAGCCACGGCUAACUACGUG